AGCGAACGCUGGCGGCAGGCUUAACACAUGCAAGUCGAGCGGGCAUCCUUGUGGUGUCCGCGGCAGACGGGUGCGUCACGCGUGGGAAUGUGCCGUUCGGUUCGGAAUAACUCAGGGAAACUUGAGCUAAUACCGGAUACGUAAGAGAGCAGAACGGUUUAUCUCACGAGGGUUAGGCUCGAGUCUGAUUAGUUAGUUGGUGAGGUUACGGCUCACCAAGGCGACGAUCAGUAGCUGGUCUGAGGGGAUGAUCAGCCACACUGGGACUGAGACACGGCGCAGACUCCUACGGGAGGCAGCAGGGGGGAAUAUGGGACGAUGGGGGCAACCCUGAGCCAGCCAUGCCGCGUGAGUGAUUACGGCCUUAGGGUUGUAGAGCUCUGUUCUCCGGGACGAUAAUGACGGUACCGGAGGAAUAAGCCCCGGCUAACUUCGUG
This 437-nucleotide ribosomal RNA is filed under the name uncultured bacterium. Its description in RNAcentral is "partial 16S ribosomal RNA". It matches the Rfam family "Bacterial small subunit ribosomal RNA", at positions 29 to 507 of the family's 1533-position model. The record is from RNAcentral.